This 439-nucleotide ribosomal RNA is filed under the name uncultured bacterium. Its description in RNAcentral is "partial 16S ribosomal RNA". It matches the Rfam family "Bacterial small subunit ribosomal RNA", at positions 339 to 795 of the family's 1533-position model. The record is from RNAcentral.
CUACGGGACGCACCAGUGAGGAAUAUUGCACAAUGGGGGAAACCCUGAUGCAGCAACGCCGCGUGGAGGAUGACGCAUUUCGGUGUGUAAACUCCUUUUAUCAGAGAAGAAAAUGACGGUAUCUGAUGAAUAAGCUCCGGCUAACUCCGUGCCAGCAGCCGCGGUAAUACGGAGGGAGCAAGCGUUAUUCGGAAUCACUGGGCGUAAAGGACGCGUAGGCGGGUUUUUAAGUCAGGUGUGAAAUCCUAUGGCUCAACCAUAGAACUGCACUUGAAACUGGGGACCUAGAGUAUGGAAGGGGCAGGUGGAAUUAGUGGUGUAGGGGUAAAAUCCGUAGAUAUCACUAGGAAUACCGAAAGCGAAGGCGACCUGCUGGGACAUUACUGACGCUGAGGCGUGAAAGCGUGGGGAGCAAACAGGAUUAGAUACCCGGGUAGUC